AUGUGGGUUCUUCUUUGCGCCUUUAGCAGAUGGUGUUCACACCGGACCGUCGCUACCCAAUGCUGGCGCAUGGACCAAUGUUGCAAGAGGAUUGGUGUGAAAUGUCGAAGGGAUGCAAUUAUCGUGAAUGUUCCUUCAGGCUUUUUCUUUCACAUCUCUAUUCCAAUUUACUUGAAUUCCAGCCUGGCACAAUCCACAAUUUUUAAUUUCUCCUCUACGAUCAAUUUUCAAACGGUUGGUAUUUUCAUGAGUUGUAAAGGACACCAUCCACCUGAAAACUGACUCAAAAGCUUGCGUAGUGAUGCGUGAAGGUGGGAGUUUAAAUUCAGAUGCGGAAAAUGCGCAUUUAGGUGUGUUUACACAGACUUUUCUUUGGAACUGGCCGCUUGAACGUGCGUUGCUGAGGCUGGUGUGAACAUAGCAUCAUAAAGUGGGUUGAUUACUGAAUUAGUGAUUGUUUUUAUAUAUUUAAGAGGAACAAACAAAUAUCUGACAAGUUGUGAUUUUGAUUUAAACAAAAAAAACACACACAAAACAACUGCAAAGUUUUGUCUGUCUUUUAAAGCUAAUCAUGAUCAUACAGGUCAGAGCACAAAAGUGACAUAGCUGCAAGUCAUGUCAAUAGAGAUGGUCAGUUCUUACAUUGACCAGGGCUGGAUCCGAAGAUGAGAGAAGCACAGUUGAUUGAAUGUCUGUCAGUCUCUCAGUUAGGAUCAAAUAUUCAUUGUUAUGUAACAAUAAGUCAUGUCCAUGUCAACGCCUUCAGAGCUGUUCACAUCAAAAUAUUUCCUUUACAGAAAUAUAAAAAUGGACUGUUGACAUAAAUCAUAUGGAACCGUAUCCGAGAACAAAACCAGUAAAAGUAUGACAAGAUAAAACAAAGAACUCCUCAGAUUCGCAAACGCUGUGCGUUUGUCAGACCUAUUUUUUAUUAUUUUAUAAACAUCAGUCAACUAGGCAUUAGAGCAACUUACUGUAUAAAUUAUGCAGAGUUAUUUUCAUAUGUGACACAGUUAAAAAAGAAAAGAGAAAUCAAGAGAUAAUACGAGUUGACCUCGGUCAAAAAUGCAAAUCUUUGAAGUCCAUUUCUGCUAAAUAGUUUGUCGAGCAUUUAAGCGUUUUUAUAUAUCUGUACAUUUGGGCAAUGCAGUUUUAGAUUUUUGUUUUCUUGUUGUUGUUAUUAUUUCUGUUCAUUUGGUUGUAACAUCCCGAGUGCUUGUAAGUGUAAAAGAUGUGUUGUCGUGCUUGCGAGCCCACAAGUGCCUCUGCUCAAAUCAUGACCCAAUAGUCGGGGAUUUUUGUUUUUUUCCCCCACUCUGUAUGUAACAUGUGGCGUUGAGGGAUCUGCUCAUCGCCACACACUUUUCAUGUCUGGAUUCCAAGCUAGCCCUGUGCUUUAUGGUAUUUUGGUCUUUUUGCGCUACAUAACACAGACAGCAUCAAUAACUCCUGUUGAAGAUGUAUAGCUUUAAAAAAAUGAAAAGGGAACAUGUAAUUUGUAGUAUAAAGAAAUUAUUCUUGUGUACCCUCAACAUUCAUGUUUCAUAAGCAUUAUCAGUGAAAAAGGAUCUGUGCUACUUCAUAUAUGCAUUGUAUUUUGGAUAUCAAAUAUAUAAAUAUAUUAUAAAUAUAUAUUUGUGUGUAUAACUUUUACAAUUAAGCUUUGAAUUAUUAAUAUUGUCAUUCCUGCUAUGUAUGAAGGAAAACCUUUUGAAAAAGAGCUUUUGUAUAGGAAAAUGUGACAAAAAUAAAUGUUUUUACCUCUUCCAUAAUCUUUCAUUGCUUUGCUCUUGGGAUUAGUAUAUCUUGAUAGGUAAAAAUAAGAAUAAGCUGCAACAUAGAUACAGUUUUCACACUAAUGCAUUUUUGGAUUAUAAGUACGUCCCUGUUGUCUUGGUAGUUACUUUUUGCUAAAAUCUGCUAAACAAACCAACCGUUGGGGUAAACAUGCAAACAGGGAAAAAAGUCCCCAACUAUCAGAUACUGCUCUGAAAGCUCACCACCUUAGAGAAGACAUAAGCCAAUGGAGAAGAGAAAGCUGAAAGCUGCUUGAGCCAAGUGCAGAAACAAAACUGUGAAACUGAAGCUGUGCCAGCUCAGUAUCCAAGAAGGUUGAAAGAGAAGAAGGAGACAUGUUUUAAAAAAACAUAUAUAAGGAAUUACAUAGAAGAGAUUAAAUAGAGGCUUAAAGUAGAACUGUCUCUCACAGAUCUAUUUUAACUUUAAUGAGCUAAUUGUAAAAUAUCUGGAAAUUUUGAUCUCACCAAAGUCAGAAAACUAGAAACAUCUCUCAAGGCAGAGGGGACCAAAUAAAACAACAACAACAAAAAAGAUAGAAUAUGUCCUACAUGACCAUUAGACCAUAGACAGCAAUGGCAGACAAAACAGUCCUUCCUUUUCCAAGACUAUGUCUGUGAAGACUCUCAUUCAUCCAGGUUGAUUCCAUCACAGUAAUAGGUUUAAAAAUUGUCAUCACAGUCCAGAUGACAACUUUUAAAUCUACUACUGUGAUUUUCCAAGACUACUUUAAGAGCUUCUGCAGAAAGAGGAGGCCAACAAUAAAAGCUCUGAUGAGGUCUACAUGAAAACUCUUGACCGACUACAUCAGUAGAUGGGAAGCUAAAAGAAAAACAAGAACAUAUUUACUUCACCAGCCAAAUCCUCAAGUGUGAAACGUGAAACAGGGUAAGGACCACAGCCAAAAGCGUCUUAGCCCAGGAGGUGGAAGAGUCCAAUAAGUUAGGAUGUGCAUUGGUCCAAAGAAAGAAUGACCUUCAAAGCCAGAAGCAGUGGUCGGGAAAAAGAAGCACAAUCCGAAAGCACAAUCAAAAGGCAUCAGCAAAAAUGUCAGAUGCUUUAACAGUGACAGAAAGCAGUUGACACUGAACAGACAGAAGAGGCAACAAGAAAACUCCACGCAUUUCCAAGAAAUUUCUCAACUAAAAGAGCUUAUUAAAGAGCAAAAGGCAAAAAUGAACUUCUUUUCCAUGAAGAAGUCUUCAUGGAAAAGCUUGACCAACAACAAGAGCAGGUUGACAGGUUAAAAGGAAGUACUAGAAGUUCCUGAGGAUUUUUAAAAGAUCUGGAUAUCAAGAUUAGAUCUUCUAACUGCUGCCUAUAACCCUUGUGCUAUCCUAGGCACUUUAACAUUGGAAGUUGGGUCAUGUAGACCCACUAAACAGUGUGUUGAACCUUUUUUCUUCAAUGAUUUGUGAUCUUCGCUGGUGUCCAUGGAUUACAUGAAAUCUUUCCACCUUUAUUCACCUUUGUCAUGGUAGGGAGAACACGUUAAUGCAAGGGUAGGGUCAUCUAAGAUAACAGAAGGGUUAAAACUUGCUCAAUAAUUCAAAACUUUAUUUUUCCAUAAUAAAUUAAUUUCUACUUUAGCUCUUACCAAAACUGUAACCCAGUUUUGUCAACACCUAUUUGUUGGAGAAGCAAUCUUAAACUGGAUUUUAAGAUCAUGGCUGGUCUUGCAUAAGUUUUUUAUGAAAAAAAAACAACUGAAUUUUUUUAAUGGGUGAUGUGAUACUAGUUUCAUGUAGUUUUUUUACUCUACGAAAUUGCAUUCAAAGUACCUUUGGUACAAAUCUCUGAUCAUUUUUUAUUU
Molecule: long non-coding RNA, 3610 nt
Filed under: Oryzias sinensis (Chinese medaka)
Lineage: Eukaryota; Metazoa; Chordata; Actinopteri; Beloniformes; Adrianichthyidae
Description: lncRNA (ENSOSIG00000008966.1)
Source: RNAcentral